AAGUGUCCUCCCAGGUGGUUCCAACCUUUAACCCAAUUCCUCUGUCUUGGAGGCAAAGGGAAAGGACGUGGCUGAUCCCCGCAGAGCCCAAGGCCAGCCACCAUCCUUUCAUGGAGCCAGGCAGCUUCGAGAAGCCACUGAGGCUCCUUGUGCUCCUUGUGUGGGCACAAAGUGUGGGCUUCUGGAGGGGGUCCUUGGACCUCUAUCUCAGCAGGGACAUUCCUCCUCCCCCCGCCUUCCAGACCUCCUGCUCCAGAUGCCUGGCUUCUCCAGGGCACCCCGAUGGGUGGCUCUGCCACCCCAGGACACUGGACUGGGGCCACCCUUACAGAACCGGUUCGAAGCCAAACAAUGGCACGUCACAGUCCAGCUGAGCCGGAGGCCUCAGCAGGGAUCCCAUCCAGGAUCUCACAUUCUACGUCGUUGUCAUUGUCUUGCCUCCUGAGGCUCCUCUUGGCUGUGACCACUUCUCGGACUUUUAUUUUGAUGAAAAUAUUUUGAUGACCCUGACAGUUUUGAGAAGUCCUGGUUUGGUGUCUUGGAGGAUACUGCUAUACUGGAAUUUGUUUCGUGUUGUUCUCAUGUUUAGACAGGGGUUAUGGGUUUUUGGGUGUCUGAUCACAAAGCCGAGGUGCCGUUUUCAUCAUGUAUCCUAUCAGAGGUCCUAUCAACUGGAGUUACAAAGAUGCUGACUUUAUCACGGGUAUCCGCUGGGUUUCUGCACCGCAGAAUGAGCCCCCUUCUCCCGUUCCACACUGUACUCUUUGGGAGGAAGUCACUAAGUGCAGCCACACAUAAGGCCUGGGACUUAUGCUUUCAGCCCCAACUCAUUUAGGGUGAAAUAGUGACAUAAAUUGGCCUGGUGCAGUGGCUCAUGCCUGUAAUCCCAGCACUUUGGGAGGUCGAGGCGAGCGGAUCACCUGAGGUCAAGAGAUGGAGACCCUCCUGGCCAACAUGGUGAAACCUUGUGUCUACCAAAAAUACAAAAAUUAGCUGGGCGUGGUGGUGGGCGCCUGUAAUCCCAGCUACUUGGGAGACUGAGGCAGGAGAAUCGCUUG
RNAcentral lists this long non-coding RNA (1058 nucleotides) under Homo sapiens (human). RNAcentral describes it as "HSALNT0242493". Lineage: Eukaryota; Metazoa; Chordata; Mammalia; Primates; Hominidae. The record is from RNAcentral.